RNAcentral lists this ribosomal RNA (161 nucleotides) under uncultured bacterium. RNAcentral's name for it is "partial 16S ribosomal RNA". It matches the Rfam family "Bacterial small subunit ribosomal RNA", at positions 1340 to 1500 of the family's 1533-position model. The record is from RNAcentral.
AAUGGCAGGUCAGCAUACUGCCGUGAAUACGUUCCCGGGCCUUGUACACACCGCCCGUCACACCAUGAGAGUUGGAGAUACCCGAAGCCUGUGAGCCAACUAUAUAGAGGCAGCAGUCGAAGGUAGAAUCAAUGAUUGGGGUGAAGUCGUAACAAGGUAUC